UGUGUGUGUGUGUGUGUGUGUGUGUGUGUGUGUGUAUAUAUAUAUAUAUACACACAUACAUAUACACACACACACU
RNAcentral lists this microRNA precursor (76 nucleotides) under Pelobates cultripes (western spadefoot toad). Lineage: Eukaryota; Metazoa; Chordata; Amphibia; Anura; Pelobatidae. The record is from RNAcentral.